This 254-nucleotide ribosomal RNA is filed under the name uncultured bacterium. Its description in RNAcentral is "partial 16S ribosomal RNA". It matches the Rfam family "Bacterial small subunit ribosomal RNA", at positions 524 to 776 of the family's 1533-position model. The record is from RNAcentral.
UACGGGGGGAGCAAGCGUUGUUCGGAUUUACUGGGCGUAAAGGGCGCGUAGGCGGUCAGCACAAGUCAGUUGUGAAAUCUCCGGGCUUAACUCGGAAAGGUCAACUGAUACUGUGCGACUAGAGUGCAGAAGGGGCAACUGGAAUUCUCGGUGUAGCGGUGAAAUGCGUAGAUAUCGAGAGGAACACCUGCGGCGAAGGCGGGUUGCUGGGCUGACACUGACGCUGAUGCGCGAAAGCCAGUGGAGCGAACGGG